This 1439-nucleotide ribosomal RNA is filed under the name metagenome. RNAcentral describes it as "bacterial LSU rRNA". It matches the Rfam family "Bacterial large subunit ribosomal RNA", at positions 1467 to 2925 of the family's 2925-position model. The record is from RNAcentral.
GAGGGACGGCAUCCAGAACGCGAGGGGACGACUAGAAAUGUCCCCGUGGGCGACUUGAGAUGGGGGAAAGGUAAAUCCGCCCCGUAAUUCAAGAGUUGACCGCAAUGAGCCUGGUUCUCAGGGUCGCGGGAAGGAUGUCCAAGAAAAGCUCCUAGGGUUGAAAACUAGCGACCGUACUAAAACUGACACAGGUAGGCGAGACGAGUAGUCUCAGGCGCUCGGGAGAAUGGUGGUUAAGGAACUCUGCAAAUUUUCCCCGUAAGUUCGCGAUAAGGGGAGCCGGCUUGCCGGCCACAGAAAAUCGGCUCUAGCAACUGUUUAUCAAAAACACAGGUCUCUGCUAACUCGUAAGAGGAUGUAUAGAGACUGACGCCUGCCCGGUGUUGGUAGGUUAAGGAAGAGGGUUAGUCGCAAGACGAAGCUCGCAACCGAAGCCCCAAUAAACGGCGGCCGUAACUAUGACGGUCCUAAGGUAGCGAAGUUCCUUGUCGGGUAAGUUCCGACCUGCAUGAAUGGCGUAAUGACUGGAGCACUGUCUCAACCACCAACCCGGUGAAAUUGUAGUCGUGGUGAAGAUGCCACGUUCCCGCAGUUAGACGGAAAGACCCCAUGAACCUUUACUGUAGGCAGGUAUUGGGUUGAGGUACGUUUUGUGUAGGAUAGGUGGGAGGCUACGAUCCGCUGGCGCCAGCUAGCGGGGAGCCAACGUUGAAAUACCACCCUGAAUGUGCUUUAAUUCUAACUUCGUCCUGUGAAUCCAGGCGAAGGACAGUUCCUGUUGGGCAGUUUGACUGGGGCGGUCUCCUCCAAAAGAGUAACGGAGGAGUGCAAAGGUACCCUCAGCCUGGUCGGCAAUCAGGCUUCGAGCGCAAUGGUAGAAGGGUGCUUAACUGUGAGACUCAUCAGUCGAACAGGUACGAAAGUAGGUCAUAGUGAUCCGGUGGUACCGGAUGGAAGGGCCAUCGCUCAUCAGAUAAAAGGUACUCUGGGGAUAACAGGCUGAUCGCUACCGAGCGUCCACAGCGGCGUAGCGGUUUGGCACCUCGAUGUCGGCUCAUCACAUCCUGGGGGUGAAGAAGCUCCCAAGGGUUUGGCUGUUCGCCAAUGGAAGUGGUACGUGAGCUGGGUUCAGACCGUCGUGAGACAGGUCGGUCCCUAUCUGCUGCGGGCGGACGAAACUUGCGGAGGUUCUUCUUUAGUACGAGAGGAUUUAGAAGGACGCACCUCUGGUGUUCCAGUUGUCACGCUAGUGGCACGGCUGGGUAGCUAUGUGCGGAAAAGAUAAACGCUGAAAGCAUCUAAGCGUGAAGCUCUCUCCAAGAUUAGGUUUCGUAGGAUAAUUCCGAAAGUCCCCUUGAAGACGACAAGGUUGAUAGGCCGGAUGUGUAAGUGGGGUUAACCCAUUCAGCUAACCGGUACUAAUGGACGAACGCUUGGCC